Molecule: long non-coding RNA, 441 nt
Organism: Hemiscyllium ocellatum (epaulette shark)
Lineage: Eukaryota; Metazoa; Chordata; Chondrichthyes; Orectolobiformes; Hemiscylliidae
Exons: 3
Source: RefSeq, a predicted model, not a curated record
UUUGUGUGUCUGUGUCUCCCUCUGUGUGUGUGUGUGUGUCUGAGGGGUUGGGGGGAACAAGGCUCCAGUCUAACGCAGACAGAUUAACCAGGGGUUGCGGGGAUCCGGGACGGUUUGCGGUUUUGUGAGCUAUUUUCUGUUUAAAUCUGGGACAGUCUCCGGGGCAGCUGUUCCUCAGGAGAGAAUCUACAGCUUCCUCUUUAAUAACAAGGAAUGCUGCUAUUCCAGGGAUUGGGAAGACAGAGUGAACGCAGAGUCCCAACCUCUCCUCCUCCUCCUGCUCCUGCUGCGUUAAGGAACUUUUGAUCUAUCCUACUUUGUAUCUGAAGAAUAACUCAGCGUGGAUAGAUAAAUACUGGUCCGGCUGGUGACACCCACAUUCCAGAAAUGAAUUAAAAGAAAACCUCUCCGAUGCUUCUAAUGUAUUUGAAUCACCUCAUU